This 253-nucleotide ribosomal RNA is filed under the name uncultured bacterium. RNAcentral's name for it is "partial 16S ribosomal RNA". It matches the Rfam family "Bacterial small subunit ribosomal RNA", at positions 524 to 776 of the family's 1533-position model. The record is from RNAcentral.
UACGGAGGGUGCAAGCGUUAAUCGGAAUUACUGGGCGUAAAGCGUGCGCAGGCGGUUUGUUAAGUCCGUUGUGAAAGCCCCGAGCUCAACUUGGGAAUUGCAGUGGAUACUGGCAGGCUGGAGUACGGUAGAGGAAGGUGGAAUUCCCGGUGUAGCAGUGAAAUGCGUAGAUAUCAAGCGGAACACCGGUGGCGAAGGCGGCCUUCUGGACAGUGACUGACGCUGAGACGCGAAAGCGUGGGGAGCAAACAGG